RNAcentral lists this transfer RNA (63 nucleotides) under Cucujoidea sp. 44 KM-2017. Its description in RNAcentral is "tRNA-Leu". The record is from RNAcentral. Lineage: Eukaryota; Metazoa; Arthropoda; Insecta; Coleoptera.
GUUAUUUUGGCAGAAUAGUGUGGUAGAUUUAGAAUCUGAGAAAGUAAUUAGUUACAAAUAAUA